UACGUAGGUGGCAAGCGUUAUCCGGAAUUACUGGGCGUAAAGCGCACGCAGGCGGUCUCUUAAGUUUGACGUGAAAGCUCCCGGCUUAACUGGGAGAGGUCGUUGAAUACUGGGAGGCUUGAGGCAAUGAGAGGGGUGUAGAAUUCCCGGUGUAGUGGUGGAAUGCGUAGAUAUCGGGGGGAAUACCAGUGGCGAAAGCGGCACCCUAGCAUUAGCCUGACGCUCAUGUGCGAAAGCGUGGGGAGCGAACGGG
Molecule: ribosomal RNA, 253 nt
Filed under: uncultured bacterium
Lineage: Bacteria
Description: partial 16S ribosomal RNA
Rfam family: Bacterial small subunit ribosomal RNA
Source: RNAcentral